UACGUAGGUGGCGAGCGUUGUCCGGAAUCAUUGGGCGUAAAGGGAGCGCAGGCGGGCAUGUAAGUCUUUCUUAAAAGUUCGGGGCUCAACCCCGUGAUGGGAAAGAAACUACAUGUCUUGAGUACAGGAGAGGAAAGCGGAAUUCCCAGUGUAGCGGUGAAAUGCGUAGAUAUUGGGAGGAACACCAGUGGCGAAGGCGGCUUUCUGGACUGCAACUGACGCUGAGGCUCGAAAGCCAGGGGAGCGAACGGG
This 252-nucleotide ribosomal RNA is filed under the name uncultured bacterium. Its description in RNAcentral is "partial 16S ribosomal RNA". It matches the Rfam family "Bacterial small subunit ribosomal RNA", at positions 524 to 776 of the family's 1533-position model. The record is from RNAcentral. RNAcentral also lists the same sequence under 2 other names.